GUGGGGAAUAUUGCGCAAUGGGGGAAACCCUGACGCAGCGACGCCGUGUGAGGGAAGAAGGCUUUCGGGUCGUAAACCUCUGUCAGGAAGGAAGAACCUCUCAAGGCUGAACAAGCCUUGGGACUGACGGUACUUCCAGAGGAAGCACCGGCUAACUCCGUGCCAGCAGCCGCGGUAAUACGGAGGGUGCAAGCGUUAAUCGGAAUCACUGGGCGUAAAGCGCGCGUAGGCCGUCUUUUAAGUCGGACGUGAAAGCCCUCGGCUCAACCGGGGGACUGCGUUCGAUAAUGGGAGACUUGAGUCCUGGAGAGGGUGGCGGAAUUCCGGGUGUAGGAGUGAAAUCCGUAGAUAUCCGGAGGAACACCGGUGGCGAAGGCGGCCACCUGGACAGGUACUGACGCUGAGGCGCGAAAGCGUGGGGAGCAAACAGGAUUAGAAACCCCUGUAGUCC
RNAcentral lists this ribosomal RNA (451 nucleotides) under uncultured bacterium. Its description in RNAcentral is "partial 16S ribosomal RNA". It matches the Rfam family "Bacterial small subunit ribosomal RNA", at positions 354 to 796 of the family's 1533-position model. The record is from RNAcentral.